UGGGGAAUAUUGGACAAUGGGCGCAAGCCUGAUCCAGCCAUGCCGCGUGAGUGAUGAAGGCCUUAGGGUUGUAAAGCUCUUUCACUCGCGACGAUAAUGACGGUAGCGAGAGAAGAAGCCCCGGCUAACUUCGUGCCAGCAGCCGCGGUAAUACGAAGGGGGCUAGCGUUGCUCGGAAUCACUGGGCGUAAAGCGCACGUAGGCGGAUCUUUAAGUCAGGGGUGAAAUCCCAAGGCUCAACCUUGGAACUGCCUUUGAUACUGGGGAUCUCGAGUCCGGAAGAGGUUGGUGGAACUGCGAGUGUAGAGGUGAAAUUCGUAGAUAUUCGCAAGAACACCAGUGGCGAAGGCGGCCAACUGGUCCGGUACUGACGCUGAGGUGCGAAAGCGUGGAGAGCAAAC
This 401-nucleotide ribosomal RNA is filed under the name uncultured bacterium. RNAcentral describes it as "bacterial SSU rRNA". It matches the Rfam family "Bacterial small subunit ribosomal RNA", at positions 355 to 773 of the family's 1533-position model. The record is from RNAcentral.